RNAcentral lists this ribosomal RNA (253 nucleotides) under uncultured bacterium. RNAcentral describes it as "partial 16S ribosomal RNA". It matches the Rfam family "Bacterial small subunit ribosomal RNA", at positions 524 to 776 of the family's 1533-position model. The record is from RNAcentral.
UACGGGGGGUGCGAGCGUUGUCCGGAUUCACUGGGCGUAAAGGGUGCGUAGGCGGUCGGGUAAGUCUGAUGUGAAAUCUCAGAGCUCAACUCUGAAACUGCAUUGGAUACUAUUCGGCUUGAGGUCUGGAGGGGGGACUGGAAUUCUCGGUGUAGCAGUGAAAUGCGUAGAUAUCGAGAGGAACACCAGUGGCGAAGGCGAGUCCCUGGACAGAUCCUGACGCUGAGGCACGAAAGCUAGGGGAGCAAACAGG